CAUCAUCCAAAUAUCCAAAAUCGUUUAGUCAAUCCUGCCUCACCUGAUUCAGAACAACUUCAGCAUAAAAGAUGCUCAUGCAGCUCAGGCUGCUAUAUUCUUGCGUGCCUUUAAUAACAGGGGACCAUAGUUAACUUGAAAUCUCUACAGUUUCAAAGAACAAGUUAUAAGUAGUUCUACUUUGAAUGGUCUCUGUAUAUUCCUUUGCAUAAGAUGCACCAACAGUGCAGCCUGAACCAGUCUAGGAUGUACCAUUGGCAUACCCAGUGAAUGUGAAACGUCCAUCACAAAACCCACCAGUUACAGGAUGGAACACUGGAAUCACAAGUUUCCAUGAAGUCUGGAAUCACAAUGGCAGGAGUCAUCUGGUGUGUGUCUGCAUGUUCGUGAGAAAAAAAGGAGGUGGACUGAAAAUACUGGAGACCCGUAAGCCAUCAUCACACUUCUAAAAAUAUGUAAGAUUGGAAAUGAGGACUAUUAGAUCAACAGUAUUGUGAAGAUUUGGGGACACAGAGUGAAAGACGAAAUACUUGUUCUCCAGACUUGGCUACAUUUUCUCCACUAUCUCAUACAGAAUAAUUAGCCCUGAUGCCUCUGAACUGACUUCAUUAUUAAAUUUUCAUUAUUUCUGCUUGCC
Chelonia mydas (Green sea turtle) is the source of this 637-nucleotide long non-coding RNA. RefSeq lists it as uncharacterized. NCBI's taxonomy places the organism in Eukaryota, Metazoa, Chordata, Testudines, Cheloniidae. The transcript is spliced from 3 exons. The record is from RefSeq and is a predicted model, not a curated record.